RNAcentral lists this transfer RNA (67 nucleotides) under Megaginus tataupensis. RNAcentral's name for it is "tRNA-Met". It matches the Rfam family "tRNA". From Rfam's summary of the family: Transfer RNA (tRNA) molecules are approximately 80 nucleotides in length. Their secondary structure includes four short double-helical elements and three loops (D, anti-codon, and T loops). Lineage: Eukaryota; Metazoa; Arthropoda; Insecta; Psocodea; Heptapsogasteridae. The record is from RNAcentral.
GAAAAGAUAUGCUAAAUUAAAGCAUUCAGACUCAUACUCUGAACAUGAGUUAAAUUCUCUCUUUUCA